UACGGAGGGAGCUAGCGUUGUUCGGAAUUACUGGGCGUAAAGCGCGCGUAGGCGGCUUUGUAAGUUAGAGGUGAAAGCCCGGAGCUCAACUCCGGAACUGCCUUUAAAACUGCAUCGCUUGAAUCCAGGAGAGGUGAGUGGAAUUCCGAGUGUAGAGGUGAAAUUCGUAGAUAUUCGGAAGAACACCAGUGGCGAAGGCGGCUCACUGGCUCGUAACUGACGCUCAUGCACGACAGCGUGGGGAUCAAACAGG
This 253-nucleotide ribosomal RNA is filed under the name uncultured bacterium. RNAcentral describes it as "partial 16S ribosomal RNA". It matches the Rfam family "Bacterial small subunit ribosomal RNA", at positions 524 to 776 of the family's 1533-position model. The record is from RNAcentral.